Molecule: long non-coding RNA, 2778 nt
Filed under: Homo sapiens (human)
Lineage: Eukaryota; Metazoa; Chordata; Mammalia; Primates; Hominidae
Description: HSALNT0345383
Source: RNAcentral
UUUUACAUUAAAAAGAAGGAAGAGAAAGCAAGCAAGCAAGCAAGAAGGGUGGUAAUGAGAAGCUGAGAGCAGUGUGCCAACUCGCAAUGCCAUCUUCGCUGACAUGUAAAAAUAGUUGUGUUUUAACAAGUGUGCUUUGCUUAAAUGAAAUAGGUGGAUUUCUAGAAAUGAAAUUGCUGCAGCAAAAGGACUGCAUAAUGUAAACACUCUUGAGACAGAUGACCAAUUUGUUUCCUGCAGUUUGUUCGCAUUUACACACUUCUAACAAUAUGGAGAUGUAUGUCUCACUGAAAUCAUGAUGACAACAGAGUUUUUUGCUUCUGUCUGCCAAUUUUUCCUUUGGGGCACUCAUCAUUUUGAUUACUUAAAUAUGCAUCUUAUGGUAGAAACUGGAACCACUGUCUUGAAUCAAAAGAUGGAAGAAGCUUCUCUUGAAGAUUAAAGGGACACAAGACAGAAGUUGUCUGUGUCCCUGAGGGCUUAGCAGAGGAGACUUGACCUACUUUCUUGGGCUUGUUGUGACAUCUAUUUUGUUUAAGUGGGAGAGACAAAGACAAGAUAACAAGCAAAUUAAUAAUUGCAUCUUUGGUAACUUUUCUGAAGAAAAUAAACAUUAGACUCGGUCAGAGAAUAAUGGUGAAAAGGUUGCCCUGGAAAAAGUGAUAAGGAACAGCCUUUUUGGGAUGGUGAAUAUGAAGAGUAUGAAUUACAAUGUUCCUGAAAAGCCACUUUCCUGAGAAGAACUGCAACAGAUUUUCAUGAUAUCAAGAAGGCUUUAUGUUCCUGUAAGAAAGUUUGGCUGUAAGUUCCUAUCAAGAUUCUACAAGAACAUAUUGAUGCUCUGAAAGAUAACCCCAGAAGAGUAUGAGGAGACAUACACAGUCUACACAGAUGGGGUUUCACCGUGUCAGCCAGGAUGGUCCCGAUCUCCUGACCUCGUGAUCUGCCCGCCUCGGCCUCUCAAAGUGCUGGGAUUACAGGCGUGAGCCACCGCGCCUGGACGUUGCCGCCAUAUAUAAAGGAGUGCAAGAGUCCAUAAAACUUACUCCCUCUGCUCUUGAAGGUGAACAGCACACUUUAGUAGCAAAAGAAAAUUGGUAGUGAAAGCAAAACAAGGAAAGAAAUCUCUCUGGGCCCUGCUUCUGUUUCUCAAAAGAUUGCCUGUUUUACUUCUCACCAUUGAUUUAUGUUGCCAAAACAAAGAGCACUGCACUUGGAACAGAAGACCCCCAAGACCCAUGCCUGAAUCAUCUGUGUUCUCCAUAGCCUCUGCCAAGCCAGGUCUGAACUAGGACAAGGGCUCAGGUUUUCUCCAAAUUCUCCAAAUUAUUAUCUGAUAUUGAACUGAUUUUAUUAAGAAGAGUGAAGUGAUAGUUCAACUCUACUCAGACAGAAGACAUGUACUUCCAAGAAGACGGAGUUUGCAAAGAUCACAUUAGCACAUAUUCUGUCCAUAGAUUUUCUACUGUGAUUUAGUUGGAUAAGCUUAUGCUACACAUUAGUGUAAUAAGACUAAAAUUAUUGAUUUGUAUGAAAUGUAAAUUAAGUUUUAAAUCUUUAUCAUUGGAAAUGGGUGGUUUAUAUUUUUGUUUUUUUCUUAGUUCAGGACCACUUGAAUCCCCCCAGGAAUCCACUGCAAUUGUUAUAUUCCAUUGUCAGUGAGUGAGAAAGAAAAGAAGGAGGAUGGGUAAGAAAGGGCUUGGAGAGUCUGGGAGCCUAUGUGAGUCUGUGUGCAAAGCAUAUUAACUCUGACUCUGCCCAAAGCUUACAGAGAAGAUAUUCAGCUACCUGAGGAGGUCCGUAUUUUAUAGCCUUUGUUUAAUAUAUGGGAAAAUGGGAGUCAAGGAAAAUUAGAGUCCUUGCCUUGGUAAUACAUCCAGGACACAGGAAAAUUGGAAUUGGAACACCUGCCUGUGACACCAGUGCAUGCUUUUAACAACGACCUUGAUAACUUCUCACUUUUACUCCCUUCCUUGUUUACCCAGUCUGUCCACCUGGAAAUGCUAGUUCAUUAAGACUCAGAUCAAAGGUCAUUUCCCAUCAGAAUGUUUCUCUGACUAUUCCAGACACAGUCUAAUGCAUCAUCCUUUUCUGAUCUGUAGAGAACAUUAAAAGGUUGUUUAAUUUUAAGCUUUUAUAUAGCUGAGAGAGUUAUUUGAUGGCAAAAAGUUCUUCAUGAACUGGUAAGUACAGGAUUACCUAUGAUGUGCAAUUUAUAACUAGAAUGAGAAUAGCUAAACACUCCUUAACAAAGAACUUUGAACACCUUUAAUGAUUUCGACGGAUUUGCAGGCAUCAAAAUGGAUGUAGUAACACAAUGAAUGUCCAGAUAGGUAGUUUUGAUUUCUGAAAUUGCUCAUUGUUCUGACUCUAUUGAGAAUUCCCCAAUUUACACAUCACUUUACUCAAUUUGCUUCUCUCUCAAUGUGCUGACUCUAAUAGCAGUGCCACUUCUCCCUGCCUUCCCCAUCCAAACCUCUCUCCCAGAGAUAGCUGCUUUCCUAAGAAAAUUGUUUUCAGCAUAUUCUUUUCUGCGUAUUCUACCCCAAUAACGCACAAAAAACAACAUAUUGUAGUUGUAGUAACUACAUCUACCAGUAAAAUUUCAAGAUUGGAAGUAUAAACCAAUUAAUGUAAUUAACUUAUUAGGCAACCUAAGGCUAUUAGGAAAUCACUUUGCUCACCAUUGAAAUGGUGUCAUUGGGAUGGUUUCCUGUGAUGGGCAGCACUGAGCACCUUGGUGAGUAUGCCUGGCUCUAAGAUCAAUUUAACACAGAA